UGAGACAGGUGCUGCAUGGCUGUCGUCAGCUCGUGUUGUGAAAUGUUGGGUUAAGUCCCGCAACGAGCGCAACCCUUAUCCUUUGUUGCCAGCGGUUAGGCCGGGAACUCAAAGGAGACUGCCAGUGAUAAACUGGAGGAAGGUGGGGAUGACGUCAAGUCAUCAUGGCCCUUACGAGUAGGGCUACACACGUGCUACAAUGGCGCAUACAAAGAGAAGCGACCUCGCGAGAGCAAGCGGACCUCAUAAAGUGCGUCGUAGUCCGGAUUGGAGUCUGCAACUCGACUCCAUGAAGUCGGAAUCGCUAGUAAUCGUGGAUCAGAAUGCCACCGGUGAAUACGUUCCCGGGCCUUGUACACACCGCCCGUCACACCAUGGGAGUGGGUUGCAAAAGAAGUAGGUAGCUUAACCUUCGGGAGGGCGCUUACCACUUUGUGAUUCAUGAGC
This 447-nucleotide ribosomal RNA is filed under the name Enterobacter sp. HPC143. RNAcentral's name for it is "bacterial SSU rRNA". It matches the Rfam family "Bacterial small subunit ribosomal RNA", at positions 1030 to 1476 of the family's 1533-position model. The record is from RNAcentral. Lineage: Bacteria; Pseudomonadati; Pseudomonadota; Gammaproteobacteria; Enterobacterales; Enterobacteriaceae.